GAUGAAGAACGUAGCGAAAUGCGAUAAGUAAUGUGAAUUGCAGAAUUCCGUGAAUCAUCGAAUCUUUGAACGCACAUUGCGCCCCCUGGCAUUCCGGGGGGCAUGCCUGUCCGAGCGUCAUUUCUGCCCUCCGGCCCGGCUGGGUGUUGGGCGCUGUCCCCCCGGGGACACGCCCCAAAGGCAGUGGCGGCGCCGCGUCGGGUCCUCGAGCGUAUGGGGCUUUGUCACCCGCUCGGGACGGACUCGUCGGCGCUGGUCUUCCUCCAGGCGACCCUUCGGGGCUCGUCUUCCUUCGGUUGACCUCGGAUCAGGUAGGGUUACCCGCUGAACUUAAGCAUAUCAAUAAGCGGAGGA
Molecule: unclassified non-coding RNA, 354 nt
Filed under: soil metagenome
Description: partial contains 5.8S ribosomal RNA, internal transcribed spacer 2, and large subunit ribosomal RNA
Rfam family: 5.8S ribosomal RNA (bases 1-120)
Source: RNAcentral